CAAAGAGUAGUUUAAGUUAAAAUGUUGGCUUUGGGGGCCAGAGAUGGGAGUUCUCUCUUUGA
RNAcentral lists this transfer RNA (62 nucleotides) under Ptyas dhumnades. RNAcentral describes it as "tRNA-Pro". It matches the Rfam family "tRNA". From Rfam's summary of the family: Transfer RNA (tRNA) molecules are approximately 80 nucleotides in length. Their secondary structure includes four short double-helical elements and three loops (D, anti-codon, and T loops). The record is from RNAcentral. Lineage: Eukaryota; Metazoa; Chordata; Lepidosauria; Squamata; Colubridae. RNAcentral also lists the same sequence under 1 other name.